Molecule: long non-coding RNA, 399 nt
Organism: Hippoglossus stenolepis (Pacific halibut)
Lineage: Eukaryota; Metazoa; Chordata; Actinopteri; Pleuronectiformes; Pleuronectidae
Exons: 3
Source: RefSeq, a predicted model, not a curated record
UUUUAACUUUCCGGUCCAUUUAACACAAAGCUACGUCAUAAACAUGGAGCGCUUGGAAGACGACGAUGUUAUAAUCCUUCUGUCAGGAGGAUCCAAGUGAAGCUACAGGAGUUUCAGCAACGUCAAAAACUGGGACCGAACAGUUUGUUUGGCUUGAGGAGGAACAGGAAGGGCAGCCUCUCCCAAAGAGAAGGAGACCUGGAGAGAAACAGAAGCCGGGUUUAGGCCACUGCCACCAUCCACAUACAUCGAGGAAGAUGAGGGAGAGAAAUUCUCUUACCAUCAAAGAGAAUGGUUGUUUUUUUGACCAAGCAUGCUUCCCUGCUGUGAUUGUUCAACUGGGAAAACAACUCUUUCCACAGGAAGGCAAGUCAAUUUGAUUGGAAGGAAUCUAAAUGU